GGGGGGGUAGCCCGUAGCAGUCGGCCCGCGAGAUUCAGCCCGGCGCGGUCCGGGGUCGGCUCGGGGGACGUCCGCGAUCCUUUGGACGCGCGCCUCCGAGGCCGGCUCGACACCGGGUGCACUUUCCGCGGGCAGAGAGUCUCGAUCGGCCGGCGGGCGACCAGGCGGCCCGGGGCAAGUCAGGCGCGGCGGGAAAGGGGGGGUUCGCCCUUCUUCUCUUCGUCGCGCCGUUGUCAGGCCCCGGGAAAGAAGGCUCGCUUUGUACCGGCCGAGGAACUGCGGCCCCGCGCGGCUGCGGGCCCACGCGUCGGAGUCACGACUGAGAGGGACCGGGCAACCGUGCCUCUCGACCGCUCCGGCGUGAACGGCGCCCGCGCACGCUGCCGGGGAUGCCAGGAUCAGAGGCCGAUCGGUCGGCGACCCACCCGACCCGUCUUGAAACACGGACCAAGGAGUCUAACGUGCGCGCGAGUCGUCGAGUCGUACGAAACUCGAAGGCGCAGUGAAAGCGAGGGAGGUCCUCCGGACUUCCCAGGCGAGAUCCCCCGGCCCGCGCCGGGGGCGCACCGCCGGCCCGUCUCGCGGUCGUCGGACCUGAGGCGGAGCUAGAGCGCGCGCGCUGGGACCCGAAAGAUGGUGAACUAUGCCUGGGCAGGACGAAGCCAGAGGAAACUCUGGUGAAAGUCCGCAGCGAUUCUGACGUGCAAAUCGAUCGUCGAAUCUGGGUAUAGGGGCGAAAGACUAAUCGAACCAU
This 754-nucleotide ribosomal RNA is filed under the name Megalovalvata piligera. Its description in RNAcentral is "eukaryotic LSU rRNA". The stretch from base 447 to 754 matches the Rfam family "Eukaryotic large subunit ribosomal RNA", at positions 665 to 943 of the family's 3401-position model. Lineage: Eukaryota; Metazoa; Mollusca; Gastropoda; Valvatidae. The record is from RNAcentral.